RNAcentral lists this small nuclear RNA (285 nucleotides) under Salvator merianae (Argentine black and white tegu). RNAcentral's name for it is "7SK RNA (ENSSMRG00000006599.1)". It matches the Rfam family "7SK RNA". From Rfam's summary of the family: 7SK was discovered as an abundant small nuclear RNA in the mid-70s but a possible function has only recently been suggested. Two independent studies have found that 7SK RNA binds the CDK9/cyclin T complex (known as elongation factor P-TEFb). The record is from RNAcentral. Lineage: Eukaryota; Metazoa; Chordata; Lepidosauria; Squamata; Teiidae.
GAAUGUGAGGACAUUCUGGCUGUGACAUCUGCCACUCCAGGGAUCACCAGGGUUGAUAGAGCUGAUCUGGCUGGCUAGGUGGUGUUCCCUUCUCCCUUACUACUCCAUGUACCUCCCUCCUGAGGUUGGAGGAGAACAGGCAUCCCAAAUAGGAGUAUCCCUUUCUUUGAUCAAGGGUAUACAAUAGCUCUGCCAGAACUUCUAAACAAGUGCCAGAGCUGUUUGANAGUUUUGCUGUGAUAUCCUAAACCUGUUGGCAUUUUUAAUAUAUCUGGAAACUCCUUU